Molecule: ribosomal RNA, 2916 nt
Filed under: Vibrio parahaemolyticus
Lineage: Bacteria; Pseudomonadati; Pseudomonadota; Gammaproteobacteria; Vibrionales; Vibrionaceae
Description: 23S ribosomal RNA
Rfam family: Bacterial large subunit ribosomal RNA
Source: RNAcentral
GUUGUAUGGUUAAGUGACUAAGCGUACACGGUGGAUGCCUUGGCAGUCAGAGGCGAUGAAAGACGUAGUAACUUGCGAUAAGCCCAGAUUAGGUAGUAACAACCAUUUGAGUCUGGGAUUUCUGAAUGGGGAAACCCACGUGCAUAAGCACGUAUCCUUACCUGAAUACAUAGGGUAAGGAGGCGAACCGGGGGAACUGAAACAUCUAAGUACCCCGAGGAAAAGAAAUCAACCGAGAUUCCGAAAGUAGCGGCGAGCGAAAUUGGACUAGCCCUUAAGCUUUACACGCGUUAGACGAACGGUCUGGAAAGUCCGACGAUACAGGGUGAUAGUCCCGUAGUUGACGACGUGUGUUCAGUGAAAUCGAGUAGGGCGGGACACGUGAUAUCCUGUCUGAAUAUGGGGGGACCAUCCUCCAAGGCUAAAUACUACUGACUGACCGAUAGUGAACCAGUACCGUGAGGGAAAGGCGAAAAGAACCCCUGUGAGGGGAGUGAAAUAGAACCUGAAACCGUGUACGUACAAGCAGUAGGAGCAGGCUUUGUCCUGUGACUGCGUACCUUUUGUAUAAUGGGUCAGCGACUUAUAUUCAGUGGCAAGGUUAACCAUCUAGGGGAGCCGUAGGGAAACCGAGUCUUAACUGGGCGUUCAGUCUCUGGAUAUAGACCCGAAACCAGGUGAUCUAGCCAUGGGCAGGUUGAAGGUUGAGUAACAUCAACUGGAGGACCGAACCGACUAAUGUUGAAAAAUUAGCGGAUGACUUGUGGCUAGGGGUGAAAGGCCAAUCAAACCUGGAGAUAGCUGGUUCUCCCCGAAAGCUAUUUAGGUAGCGCCUCGGACGAAUACUACUGGGGGUAGAGCACUGUUAAGGCUAGGGGGUCAUCCCGACUUACCAACCCUUUGCAAACUCCGAAUACCAGUAAGUACUAUCCGGGAGACACACGGCGGGUGCUAACGUCCGUCGUGGAGAGGGAAACAACCCAGACCGCCAGCUAAGGUCCCAAAUUACUACUAAGUGGGAAACGAUGUGGGAAGGCUCAGACAGCCAGGAUGUUGGCUUAGAAGCAGCCAUCAUUUAAAGAAAGCGUAAUAGCUCACUGGUCGAGUCGGCCUGCGCGGAAGAUGUAACGGGGCUAAGUAGUAAACCGAAGCUGCGGCAAUGUGCUUUUGCACAUUGGGUAGGGGAGCGUUCUGUAAGCGGUUGAAGGUGUGUGGUAACGCAUGCUGGACGUAUCAGAAGUGCGAAUGCUGACAUGAGUAACGAUAAAGGGGGUGAAAAACCUCCUCGCCGGAAGACCAAGGGUUCCUGUCCAACGUUAAUCGGGGCAGGGUAAGUCGACCCCUAAGGCGAGGCCGAAAGGCGUAGUCGAUGGGAAACGGGUUAAUAUUCCCGUACUUCUUACAAUUGCGAUGGGGGGACGGAGAAGGCUAGGUGGGCCUGGCGACGGUUGUCCAGGUUCAAGUGCGUAGGCUUAAGAGUUAGGUAAAUCCGGCUCUUUCUAAGGCUGAGACACGACGUCGAGCUACUACGGUAGUGAAGUCAUUGAUGCCAUGCUUCCAGGAAAAGCCUCUAAGCUUCAGAUUGUAAGGAAUCGUACCCCAAACCGACACAGGUGGUCGGGUAGAGAAUACCAAGGCGCUUGAGAGAACUCGGGUGAAGGAACUAGGCAAAAUGGUACCGUAACUUCGGGAGAAGGUACGCUCUCGACGGUGAAGUCCCUCGCGGAUGGAGCUAUUGAGAGUCGCAGAUACCAGGUGGCUGCAACUGUUUAUUAAAAACACAGCACUGUGCAAAAUCGUAAGAUGACGUAUACGGUGUGACGCCUGCCCGGUGCCGGAAGGUUAAUUGAUGGGGUUAGACUUCGGUCGAAGCUCUUGAUCGAAGCCCCGGUAAACGGCGGCCGUAACUAUAACGGUCCUAAGGUAGCGAAAUUCCUUGUCGGGUAAGUUCCGACCUGCACGAAUGGCGUAAUGAUGGCCACGCUGUCUCCACCCGAGACUCAGUGAAAUUGAAAUCGCUGUGAAGAUGCAGUGUACCCGCGGCUAGACGGAAAGACCCCGUGAACCUUUACUACAGCUUGGCACUGAACAUUGACCCUACAUGUGUAGGAUAGGUGGGAGGCUUUGAAGACGGUACGCCAGUAUCGUUGGAGCCGUCCUUGAAAUACCACCCUUGUAGUGUUGAUGUUCUAACGUUGACCCCUUAUCGGGGUUACGGACAGUGCCUGGUGGGUAGUUUGACUGGGGCGGUCUCCUCCCAAAGAGUAACGGAGGAGCACGAAGGUGGGCUAAUCACGGUUGGACAUCGUGAGGUUAGUGCAAUGGCAUAAGCCCGCUUGACUGCGAGAAUGACAAUUCGAGCAGGUGCGAAAGCAGGUCAUAGUGAUCCGGUGGUUCUGAAUGGAAGGGCCAUCGCUCAACGGAUAAAAGGUACUCCGGGGAUAACAGGCUGAUACCGCCCAAGAGUUCAUAUCGACGGCGGUGUUUGGCACCUCGAUGUCGGCUCAUCACAUCCUGGGGCUGAAGUCGGUCCCAAGGGUAUGGCUGUUCGCCAUUUAAAGUGGUACGCGAGCUGGGUUUAGAACGUCGUGAGACAGUUCGGUCCCUAUCUGCCGUGGGCGUUGGAAGAUUGAAGGGGGCUGCUCCUAGUACGAGAGGACCGGAGUGGACGAACCUCUGGUGUUCGGGUUGUGUCGCCAGACGCAUUGCCCGGUAGCUAAGUUCGGAAUCGAUAACCGCUGAAAGCAUCUAAGCGGGAAGCGAGCCCUGAGAUGAGUCUUCCCUGAUACUUUAAGUAUCCUAAAGGGUUGUCGGAGACUACGACGUUGAUAGGUCAGGUGUGUAAGUGCUGUGAGGCAUUGAGCUAACUGAUACUAAUUGCCCGUGAGGCUUAACCAUACAACACCCAAGGGGUUU